UACGUAGGGGGCAAGCGUUGUCCGGAAUCAUUGGGCGUAAAGCGCGUGUAGGUGGCUUGGUAAGUCGGGUGUGAAAACCUGGGGCUCAACCCCAGGCCUGCACUCGAUACUGCCUCGCUCGAGUUCGGGAGGGGAGAGCGGAAUUCCUAGUGUAGCGGUGAAAUGCGCAGAUAUUAGGAAGAACACCGGUGGCGAAGGCGGCUCUCUGGAACGAUACUGACACUGAGACGCGAAAGCGUGGGUAGCGAACAGG
This 253-nucleotide ribosomal RNA is filed under the name uncultured bacterium. Its description in RNAcentral is "partial 16S ribosomal RNA". It matches the Rfam family "Bacterial small subunit ribosomal RNA", at positions 524 to 776 of the family's 1533-position model. The record is from RNAcentral.